RNAcentral lists this ribosomal RNA (485 nucleotides) under uncultured bacterium. Its description in RNAcentral is "bacterial SSU rRNA". It matches the Rfam family "Bacterial small subunit ribosomal RNA", at positions 15 to 518 of the family's 1533-position model. The record is from RNAcentral.
GAUCAUGGCUCAGGAUGAACGCUGGCGGCGUGCCUAAUACAUGCAAGUCGAACGAGGUAGCAAUACCGAGUGGCGAACGGGUGAGUAACACGUAGGUAACCUGCCCUUAAGCUUGGGAUACCCAGAGGAAACUUUGGCUAAUACCGGAUAACAACAGAGAAGGCAUCUUCUUUGCUUGAAAGGCCCCUUCAAGGGUCACUUAAGGAUGGACCUGCGGCGCAUUAGCUAGUUGGUGAGAUAACAGCCCACCAAGGCGAGGAUGCGUAGCCGAACUGAGAGGUUGAUCGGCCACAUUGGAACUGAGACACGGUCCAAACUCCUACGGGAGGCAGCAGUAAGGAGUUUUCGGCAAUGGGGGAAACCCUGAACCCGAGCAACGCCGCGUGAAGGAUGAAGGUCUUCGGAUUGUAAACUUCUUUGAUCAGGGACGAAAUUUUGACGGUACCUGAAGAACAAGUCACGGCUAACUACGUGCCAGCCGCUGC